UACGAAGGGGGCUAGCGUUGCUCGGAAUUACUGGGCGUAAAGCGCACGUAGGCGGCUCUUUAAGUCGGGGGUGAAAUCCUGGAGCUCAACUCCAGAACUGCCUUCGAUACUGUAGAGCUUGAGUCCGGGAGAGGUGAGUGGAACUCCGAGUGUAGAGGUGAAAUUCGUAGAUAUUCGGAAGAACACCAGUGGCGAAGGCGGCUCACUGGCCCGGUACUGACGCUGAUGUGCGAAAGCGUGGGGAGCAAACAGG
Molecule: ribosomal RNA, 253 nt
Filed under: uncultured bacterium
Lineage: Bacteria
Description: partial 16S ribosomal RNA
Rfam family: Bacterial small subunit ribosomal RNA
Source: RNAcentral